RNAcentral lists this ribosomal RNA (253 nucleotides) under uncultured bacterium. RNAcentral describes it as "partial 16S ribosomal RNA". It matches the Rfam family "Bacterial small subunit ribosomal RNA", at positions 524 to 776 of the family's 1533-position model. The record is from RNAcentral.
UACGUAGGGUGCGAGCGUUAAUCGGAAUUACUGGGCGUAAAGCGUGCGCAGGCGGUUCGUUAAGUUCGUUGUGAAAUCCCCGGGCCUAACCUGGGAACUGCAUUUGUGACUGCAUAGCUAGAGUUUGUCAGAGGGGGGUGGAAUUCCACGUGUAGCAGUGAAAUGCGUAGAUAUGUGGAGGAACACCGAUGGCGAAGGCAGCCCCCUGGGAUGUGACUGACGCUCAUGUACGAAAGCGUGGGGAGCAAACAGG